Molecule: long non-coding RNA, 1752 nt
Organism: Manis pentadactyla (Chinese pangolin)
Lineage: Eukaryota; Metazoa; Chordata; Mammalia; Pholidota; Manidae
Exons: 2
Source: RefSeq, a predicted model, not a curated record
GGGGAUUACAGUCUUGGGGCCACUGCAGCUGCGGCCUUGGCUGGCCUUGCAGGAGUCUGUAGGAAGACACAGCUUUGCGCCAAAGUUGGGGAGAGAGCGCAAAGCCGAGGAAACUUAUGAGCCCACCAGCUUCAACAAGCCACAAGAGGGAGGAAGAGCAGCAGGUGUGGCAGCCUGGACAGCAGACUCUUCCUGUUCAGUGGAGAAUAGCUCUGAAAUCGAAGAAGUUUUCAGGCCUUCCACGCCAAAAGGCAGGACCAGAGAAGUUCUUCCAGAGCUUGCUCAACGCUGACAGACAGGACCCAAGCCCCAGAGGAAAGGUUUACUGCGAUAGCAGCAGCCCUUUGCCUCCACGGUGACUUUACCAGAAGAAACCGGGAGAUAACAUAGUGAAGUGACAUGAACAUCUAGGGCCAGUGUAGAGUACUUACCUUCCUCACUUAAGUGAACACAAGGCUGACCUUGACCCUGAGAUGGGUGAUGUGAUACCUACAGGUGCCAAGAUGCUAACAUAAAUGAGAGAAGCUCAUUGGGCAUAAGAACAUAAAAAAUAAAAACCAAUGAAAAUAAAGGACAAAACCCACACAAUCACCUCAAUAGACACAGUAAAGGCUUCUGACAAAAUCCACAUCCAGUCAUGAUAAAAAUCCUCAAAAACUUGUAAUAGGUUACUUUCUCAAUUCGACGAAAAUGUAUAGUCAACAAACUUAAUGGUGAAAGAUUGAAAUGCCUUUCUGCUAAAAUCAGAAACAAGGAAAGGCUGCCCGUUUUUUCCACUUGUAUUUAACAAUGUAUUGGAGGUUCUAGAUGGGAACAAGGCAAAAAAAGAAGUAAAUUAAAGGCACCUAUUUGGGAAAAGAGAAGUAAAACGGUUUUUCUUCACAGAUAACAUGAUCAUGUACAUAGAAAAUUCUAUGGAAUCUUCAUCCCAUCACACACACAAACAGCUAGAACUAAUAAAGGAAUUCAGUAAAGCCACGGGAUACAAGAUAAAUGUAAAGAAAAAACCAGUUGUAUUUCCUUACACUGGCAACAAAUAAUUUAUAAAACGGAAUUAGGAAAAUAAUUCCAUUCACUGUAUCAUCAAAAAGAAUAAAAUACUUAGAAAUAAAUUCAUCAAAAGGAGUGGAAGACUUGUACAUUGAAAAUUACAAAAUAUCGCUAAGAGAAAUUUAGGAAUAUCUAAGUAUAAUAAUAUGGAGAGAUAUUCAUGUUCAUGGACUUGUUAAGAUGGCAAUUCUCCCCAAAUAAUUUAGAGAUUUAUACAAUCCCUAUAAAAAUCCUAGCAGGAAUUUUGUAGAAAUUGUCAAAUCUAAAAUUAAUAUGGAAAUGUAAAGGUGUGAAAUAGAAGAAUUUGGAGAAUGAACACUUGGAAGACUUACACUACUUUCACUAUUCAAAUUCAAACCUAAACGGCAAAAGGCUAGAUACAGAUCAAUAGAAUAGAAUCAAGAGUCAGAAAAAACCCCUUCAUUAUAUAAAUUGAUUUUUGACAAAGCCUCAAGGCCAUGUGAUAAGCAAAAGGUAGUUUUUCAAUAAAUGUUUCUGCUACAACUGGAUAUCAAUAUGCAAAAGGAUGAAUUUGCACCCUUACCUCACACCAUAGAGAAAAAUGAACUGAAAAUGGAUCCCAGACAUAAAUUUUAAAAUUACAACUCUAAAACCUCUAGAAGAAAACACAGGAGAAAAUCUUUGUGGGGCUAGUCAAAGAGUUCUUAUUCUUAGAUAAGACAUUAAAAUGAUGAUCCACAA